UUCACUAAGGUCCCAUUCUUCAUACGUAUGAAAUAGCGUCUUAACUCACUUUUACCGCUACCUAUUUGUAGUAAGCGCUCAUACUAUUGGGACCGGAAUGCAACGAGCGCGACUGCACCACCUAAUUGCCCCUUAUCUACCAUUAAUUACUUUAUUAACCGCCCUGUACGGGCACCGGGGCCUUACCUUUACUGAAACUAGCUGGACCGCUGCUUUCCUUUAAGCCAGAGGAAGGUUGCGGCAAUAACAGGUCUGUGAUGCCCUCAGAUGUUCCGGGCCGCACACGUGCUACAAUGAUCAGCACAGAGAGUAUUACCUAUCUUCUUAUACCUAACCCAAUAUGUUAAACUUAUUGCGUAAGGAUAUUGUCUUAUCCACUUAUUAUCCGCUUUAGCGCUUUAAGAUUAUUGGACGGUUAUGCCUGCCUCGAGAGAGUGUACAGGGCAGCAAGAGUAAUGAUUCCUUCGUUUUUACUACUAAUACCGCGCUUGGUAACAUAUUACACUCGAUUAAGUAGGGUCUUUGCUUCUAAUAGCAAUUGCUAUCCUCACCCUUAGGCUCUAAGGAUAUUACUAUCUGUAAGGUCUACAGGGAGGUGUAUAUGGCGUACUUACUUAUUCACGGUGGGGACAGACCAUUGUUAACUGUUGGUCUCGGUCUCAACUAGGAAUGCCUCGUACGGGUUGGUUCACCAAACCACCCGGAAUAUGUCCCUGCCCUUUGUACACACCGCCCGUCGCUCUUAUCGAUGAACUCACUUGUGAGGCUGAGGGACUGCGUCUAUUUAUACCCGUGUAAUCCUAAUAUCUUACAUACAUUUCGCUAAAAGCGAUUUUGCUCUAAGGAUUUACACGACCUUACGCACAAACUUAUUCGACCAAGUGGGUUUAAAGGAAAGAGAAG
This 903-nucleotide ribosomal RNA is filed under the name Globorotalia truncatulinoides. RNAcentral's name for it is "bacterial SSU rRNA". It matches the Rfam family "Eukaryotic small subunit ribosomal RNA", at positions 1303 to 1788 of the family's 1831-position model. Lineage: Eukaryota; Foraminifera; Rotaliida; Globorotaliidae. The record is from RNAcentral.